AUAUUGUCUUGGUUAUAAUUUGCUUAUAUCUUUGAACUGAGGGGUGCUGAUAUAGUUUGUACUCAUAUUUAAUGGAUAUCUUUGAUUUAAAAAAAAAAGAUAUUGAACCAGACUGUUCCAAGAUUGUACAUGAUGUAGUAACCACAUCCAGGGUCCUCACAGUUUUGUGUAUACAGGACAAUUGUACCUCAUACAUGGACAGUAAUAGCAAUUGAAUCAUAUGAAGAAAAUCAGACUUAAAAUCAUAGAAACUAGCUAAGAAAAGAAAUAUAAAGAUUUAUUGGCCAAUGGAUGAAGUCGCUUAUUUUAAAGUAUGUUGAGAGAAGUUCAGAACAAGCCAUUUUGUUUGAGGAGAAGUUGUCAGCACGUCAUCAUUGAAUAAAUUGAAUUAUAGUGAAGCCUAAACAGAAAUGAGACAAUUGUCAAAUAAUUCAAAGACUACAUGGAUGAAGACUUACAAGGCAAAUAAUUGGCUGUGGCAAACAUGUGUAUGCAUUUACAUGUUUAAAGACUUGAAGAACUUGUACUGCCUUCUUCAGAUUUCAGUAGAAUUUGUUUAAGACAGUAAAUUCUGAGUAUGAAUUGAAGAAUUUUUGCUCAUUUAAAUGAAUUAUGAAAAUGUUUUACAUUUUAAAUAUACAAA
Long non-coding RNA from Mytilus trossulus (common blue mussel), 643 nucleotides. RefSeq lists it as uncharacterized. The transcript has 4 exons. NCBI's taxonomy places the organism in Eukaryota, Metazoa, Mollusca, Bivalvia, Mytilida, Mytilidae. The record is from RefSeq and is a predicted model, not a curated record.